UACGUAGGGGGCAAGCGUUGUCCGGAUUCAUUGGGCGUAAAGAGCGUGUAGGCGGCCAGGUAGGUCGGUUGUGAAAACUGGAGGCUCAACCUUCAGAGGUCGACCGAAACCAUCUGGCUAGAGUCCGGGAGAGGGUCGUGGAAUUCCCGGUGUAGCGGUGAAAUGCGUAGAGAUCGGGAGGAACACCAGCGGCGAAGGCGGCGACCUGGACAGGUACUGACACUCAACUACGAAAGCGUGGGGAGCAAACAGG
Molecule: ribosomal RNA, 253 nt
Filed under: uncultured bacterium
Lineage: Bacteria
Description: partial 16S ribosomal RNA
Rfam family: Bacterial small subunit ribosomal RNA
Source: RNAcentral